RNAcentral lists this ribosomal RNA (447 nucleotides) under Triticum aestivum (bread wheat). RNAcentral describes it as "partial small subunit ribosomal RNA". The record is from RNAcentral. Lineage: Eukaryota; Viridiplantae; Streptophyta; Magnoliopsida; Poales; Poaceae.
AUGCGUCCAUAUGAUCUGUUUGCUACUACUUUGCAUUGCAUGAUACCAUCAAUUAAGCUAGACCUGAAAAACUGUUUGCUUGGACAUGAUCAUACAUACCCUGUUAUUGGCAUUUCUCUCAUUUAUGAUGACACUUAUUCUCCUUAUGCUAGUCCUAUGCUUAAUGAAACAUAUCAUUCCCAUGCUAGUCUUGAGUUUAAUGAUAAAUUUCAUCCUCAUGUUAGUGUCGACCUUGCUGAUUUCUACCAUCCUAAACAUGUGUUUUAUAGCUAUGCUUAUUUAAUUGGAUACUCAAUUGAUGACUUAGAGGGUAUUAUCCCUACCACUUGCAUUGUCUCUUUUGUUGAGUGCCUUUUCAGGUUUUUGCUUCUGCAUCAUUCACUUCAUGCUGACCAGGUUCGAGGUGACAUUCCUUGGGACCCUGGUGGACCCAAAGCAUGGCGAUGA